ACGGCCGAGAAGAUGACGGACAUGCGCCACAGCCAGUAGGAGUGGAAGACGGGACUGAGCGGCGGGUACUGCCCCCAAUGGCUCUGCGAGCUCCCGGUCCCGGCGUCUGGAGCGGGCCAUUCAGACGCGUGGGGCCGGGCCUGGCGGACGCUUGUUGUUGUCCGGCCCGGGGAGGUAGAGGUCGUUCGCUCGCUUGCUCGGGCCUUCUGUGGCGGUCGGCGGGCAGGUCGGUCGCGAUAGUCGGGCGCCGUGCACGGGCGAGGCUAUGUCGCGGUGGCAGCUCGGAUGGGCCGGCGGGGCCGGGAGUAACGGGACGUCGCUGCGGAGCUUCUUUCCCCGGAUACAGUGCGGCCCGAGCGGAGGCCGCGGCGCCGCACUCCGGUCCUGAGGCGUCCGCGCUACCCGGGGCCCGCACCGCCUUCUCACCCGCACCGACGCCAAUCGACCUGACCCUGCCUGGUCCGGUCCGGCCCGAUUGAGCGCAGAGUAAGCAGGCAGCAGUAGCCCUUUGGAGCACAGGACCUCCUCCCCGAGGACAUGAAGCUGUUGGAGAACUCCAGCUUCGAGGCCAUCAACUCGCAGCUGACCGUGGAGACGGGAGAUGCCCACAUCAUUGGCAGGAUUGAGAGCUACUCGUGUAAGAUGGCGGGCGAUGACAAGCACAUGUUCAAGCAGUUCUGCCAGGAGGGCCAGCCACAUGUGCUGGAGGCGCUGUCCCCACCCCAGACCUCGGGCCUCAGCCCCAGCAGACUGAGUAAGAGCCAGGGUGGCGAGGAUGAGGGCCCCCUCAGCGACAAGUGCAGCCGCAAGACUCUCUUCUACCUGAUCGCCACGCUCAACGAGUCCUUCCGGCCGGACUACGACUUCAGCAGAGCCCGGAGCCACGAGUUCAGCCGGGAGCCCAGCCUCAGCUGGGUGGUGAACGCAGUCAACUGCAGCCUGUUCUCCGCUGUUCGGGAGGACUUCAAGGCCCUGAAGCCGCAGCUGUGGAACGCGGUGGAUGAGGAGAUCUGCUUGGCUGAGUGCGACAUCUACAGCUACAACCCAGACCUGGACUCAGAUCCCUUCGGGGAAGAUGGCAGCCUCUGGUCCUUCAACUACUUCUUCUACAACAAGCGGCUGAAACGGAUCGUGUUCUUCAGCUGCCGCUCUAUCAGCAGGCUGGGGGUAGGCGGUUUUAAGACUGGUCCCCCCCACCCCCAGUGGAUCCACCUACACUCCGUCGGAGGCAGGCAAUGAGCUGGACAUGGAGCUCGGGGGAGAGGAGGAGGAGGAGAGUGGAGGUGGAGGCCGCGAGGGCGGCCACGAGGAGACCAGCACCAUGGAAGAGGACAGGGUUCCGGUGAUCUGUAUGUGAAGAGGAGGAACAGAGGCCCUCGCUUCACCCAGCUUCAAACAGUGCCUGGACCUGCCCACCUGAGGGGCCACAGGUCCUCCACAGCUGCUGGCCAGAUCCUGGCGCUACCACAGCACCAGCGCCACUCCAGGCCACACCUGCCUAGCCCUUUGGCUGUAGCCUGUGGAUGUCCCCUCAGCCCCACAGGCUCCCGCUGCCCACGCUGUGGCUGGACUGGACAGCAACGGCACAGGGCCUGGUGGGAAGAGCCACUGCCCCGCCCAAACGAACUGACACGGGCAGGGACAGCUGGACCACAGAGUUUAUUUUUGUAUUUUGUGCAGGGUCAGGCCUGGACCUGCACACUCCAGCCCAAAGGGCCGGAGACCCAGCAGGCGGUCCCCAGGGGUCAUCCGCCCACUUGUACUCCCCACCUUGCCCAUCGGGCAGCGUGCACUGAGUGUCACUUUGCUGCAGCUGGUUUGCUUCCAAUAAAAGUUCCUGUGACUC
This is an RNA transcript of Orcinus orca (killer whale), 1846 nucleotides long. It is a transcript of the gene named MAF1 homolog, negative regulator of RNA polymerase III, with no coding region annotated. The record is from RefSeq and is a predicted model, not a curated record. NCBI's taxonomy places the organism in Eukaryota, Metazoa, Chordata, Mammalia, Artiodactyla, Delphinidae. The transcript has 8 exons.